AAUGAGCUCACACCAUUUCAGCUUCAGCAUCAAUCAUGUUCGCUCUGAUACUGCUGCUGGCUGCUGGAUCAUGUGUGUACAGUAUUGAUCUCAUCCAACCAGAUUCAAGGGUUAUGCAGCCUGGACAGUCUUUGACCAUCACCUGUCAGGUCUCUGGUUAUUCUAUAACUAGCU
Long non-coding RNA from Oreochromis niloticus (Nile tilapia), 174 nucleotides. RefSeq lists it as uncharacterized. The transcript is spliced from 3 exons. Lineage: Eukaryota; Metazoa; Chordata; Actinopteri; Cichliformes; Cichlidae. The record is from RefSeq and is a predicted model, not a curated record.